CAUUACUCACCGUGUCUUCGCUGCUGUGGCCUCUCUGUGCUAUGUUUGCUAUGUGUAAAUGAUGCUACAAAUAGUCUACAAACUCCUUCACUGUGAUUAUAAUCAAUGUAGCCUCUGUAAUAAAUGCUUCUAUAUCUGUUUUUUUUAAGUGUCCUUGAAUCCUCCAGCCCUAACACUGCCUGUACGAAGAC
Chelonoidis abingdonii (Abingdon island giant tortoise) is the source of this 191-nucleotide non-coding RNA. Lineage: Eukaryota; Metazoa; Chordata; Testudines; Testudinidae. The record is from RefSeq and is a predicted model, not a curated record.